UGCAGAAUCCCGUGAACCAUCGAGUCUUUGAACGCAAGUUGCGCCUGAUGCCAUUAGGUUGAGGGCACGUCUGCCUGGGCGUCACAUAUCGAAGCCUCUUGCCAAUUUCCUAUUGAUUGGUAUUGUGCAAGAUGAUGUUGGCCUCCCGUGAGCACCAUCGCCUCAUGGUUGGUUGAAAAUCGAGACCUUGGUAGAGUGUGCCAUGAUAAAUGGUGCAUGUGUUAAGCACGAGACCAAACAAUCAUGUGCUGCUCUAUUGAAUUUAGCCUCUUUUACCCACAUGCGUGUCUAAACGCUCGUGAUGAGACCUCAGGUCAGGCGGGGCUACCCGCUGAAUUUAAGCAUAUCAAUAAGCGGAGGAAAAGAAACUAACAAGGAUUCCCUUAGUAACGGCGAGCGAACCGGGAUAAGCCCACCAUGAGAAUCGGUCGCCCUCGGCGUUCGA
RNAcentral lists this small RNA (445 nucleotides) under Trifolium pratense (red clover). RNAcentral describes it as "eukaryotic LSU rRNA". The stretch from base 305 to 445 matches the Rfam family "Eukaryotic large subunit ribosomal RNA", at positions 1 to 141 of the family's 3401-position model. Lineage: Eukaryota; Viridiplantae; Streptophyta; Magnoliopsida; Fabales; Fabaceae. The record is from RNAcentral.